RNAcentral lists this ribosomal RNA (253 nucleotides) under uncultured bacterium. RNAcentral describes it as "partial 16S ribosomal RNA". It matches the Rfam family "Bacterial small subunit ribosomal RNA", at positions 524 to 776 of the family's 1533-position model. The record is from RNAcentral.
UACGGAGGAUCCAAGCGUUAUCCGGAAUCAUUGGGUUUAAAGGGUGCGUAGGCGGAAUAAUAAGUCAGCGGUGAAAGCCUGCGGCUUAACCGUAGAAUUGCCAUUGAUACUGUUAUUCUUGAGUAUAGUUGAAGUAGGCGGAAUGUGUAAUGUAGCGGUGAAAUGCUUAGAUAUUACACAGAACACCAAUUGCGAAGGCAGCUUACUAAGCUGUUACUGACGCUGAGGCACGAAAGCGUGGGGAGCAAACAGG